UAAUGUCUGGGAAACUGCCUGAUGGUAGGGGGAUAACUACUGGAAGCGGUAGCUAAUACCGCAUAACGUCUUCGGACCAAAGAGGGGGACCUUCGGGCCUCUUGCCAUCAGAUGUGCCCAGAUGGGAUUAGCUAGUAGGUGGGGUAAUGGCUCACCUAGGCGACGAUCCCUAGCUGGUCUGAGAGGAUGACCAGCCACACUGGAACUGAGACACGGUCCAGACUCCUACGGGAGGCAGCAGUGGGGAAUAUUGCACAAUGGGCGCAAGCCUGAUGCAGCCAUGCCGCGUGUAUGAAGAAGGCCUUCGGGUUGUAAAGUACUUUCAGCGAGGAGGAAGGCAUUGUGGUUAAUAACCGCAGUGAUUGACGUUACUCGCAGAAGAAGCACCGGCUAACUCCGUGCCAGCAGCCGCGGUAAUACGGAGGGUGCAAGCGUUAAUCGGAAUUACUGGGCGUAAAGCGCACGCAGGCGGUCUGUCAAGUCGGAUGUGAAAUCCCCGGGCUCAACCUGGGAACUGCAUUCGAAACUGGCAGGCUAGAGUCUUGUAGAGGGGGGUAGAAUUCCAGGUGUAGCGGUGAAAUGCGUAGAGAUCUGGAGGAAUACCGGUGGCGAAGGCGGCCCCCUGGACAAAGACUGACGCUCAGGUGCGAAAGCGUGGGGAGCAAACAGGAUUAGAUACCCCUGGUAGUCCACGCCGUAAACGAUGUCGACUUGG
Molecule: ribosomal RNA, 715 nt
Filed under: uncultured earthworm intestine bacterium
Lineage: Bacteria
Description: bacterial SSU rRNA
Rfam family: Bacterial small subunit ribosomal RNA
Source: RNAcentral